This 75-nucleotide transfer RNA is filed under the name Segatella copri. RNAcentral describes it as "tRNA-Val". It matches the Rfam family "tRNA". Rfam says of the family: Transfer RNA (tRNA) molecules are approximately 80 nucleotides in length. The record is from RNAcentral. Lineage: Bacteria; Pseudomonadati; Bacteroidota; Bacteroidia; Bacteroidales; Prevotellaceae.
GGGCGUUUAGCUCAGCUGGUUUAGAGCAUCUGCCUUACAAGAAGAGGGUCGGCGGUUCGAAUCCGUCAACGCCCA